This 253-nucleotide ribosomal RNA is filed under the name uncultured bacterium. RNAcentral's name for it is "partial 16S ribosomal RNA". It matches the Rfam family "Bacterial small subunit ribosomal RNA", at positions 524 to 776 of the family's 1533-position model. The record is from RNAcentral.
UACGGAGGGAGCUAGCGUUGUUCGGAAUUACUGGGCGUAAAGCGCGCGUAGGCGGCUUUGUAAGUUAGAGGUGAAAGCCCGGGGCUCAACCCCGGAACUGCCUUUAAGACUGCAUCGCUUGAAUCCGGGAGAGGUGAGUGGAAUUCCGAGUGUAGAGGUGAAAUUCGUAGAUAUUCGGAAGAACACCAGUGGCGAAGGCGGCUCACUGGACCGGUAUUGACGCUGAAGCACGAAAGCGUGGGGAGCAAACAGG